UGGGGAAUAUUGCACAAUGGGCGAAAGCCUGAUGCAGCAACGCCGCGUGAGUGAUGAAGGCCUUCGGGUUGUAAAGCUCUGUCUUUUGGGACGAUAAUGACGGUACCAAAGGAGGAAGCCACGGCUAACUACGUGCCAGCAGCCGCGGUAAUACGUAGGUGGCAAGCGUUGUCCGGAUUUACUGGGCGUAAAGGAUGCGUAGGCGGAUUUUUAAGUGAGAUGUGAAAUACCCGGGCUUAACUUGGGUGCCGCAUUUCAAACUGGGAAUCUAGAGUGCGGGAGAGGAGAAUGGAAUUCCUAGUGUAGCGGUGAAAUGCGUAGAGAUUAGGAAGAACACCAGUGGCGAAGGCGAUUCUCUGGACCGUAACUGACGCUGAGGCAUGAAAGCGUGGGUAGCAAACAGGAUUAGAUACCCUGGUAGUCCACGCCGUAAACGAUGAGUACUAGGUGUAGGAGGUAUCGACCCCUUCUGUGCCGCAGUUAACACAAUAAGUACUCCGCCUGGGAAGUACGAUCGCAAGAUUAAAACUCAAAUGAAUUGACGGGGUC
Molecule: ribosomal RNA, 549 nt
Filed under: uncultured bacterium
Lineage: Bacteria
Description: partial 16S ribosomal RNA
Rfam family: Bacterial small subunit ribosomal RNA
Source: RNAcentral